Topomyia yanbarensis is the source of this 1207-nucleotide long non-coding RNA. RefSeq lists it as uncharacterized. The transcript has 3 exons. Lineage: Eukaryota; Metazoa; Arthropoda; Insecta; Diptera; Culicidae. The record is from RefSeq and is a predicted model, not a curated record.
UUCUUUUACUCAUCGAAGCUCAGUGUGAACGGCAGCAGAUAGAAAGUGAAAUUAAAAGCAAAAGUUUAAAAGAGAAGUACAGUAAGGUAUAAGUGAAAGUAGAGUGAAAAACAGGAAAGAUUUGAAAGGCGGUAAGACAGUAUUAUUUGGCAAAGAGCCACGACUGGCAGCAAGGGCGAACAAAAGGGUACAGCCCACCAAAUUGUAAGAACAGUUAAAUUUAAUCACGAUUGUAACGCCAACUAACAUAAUUUUAUUAACUUAUAGUUGAAGCUAAAUACAACUUUUACGCUACAAAACGGCCUUUUCCCUUCGCCCUACAACCUCGACACUCUUGUAUCAAAAUAUUCCAAUUGCCAGAGAAUAUCAUGGAGAUUCAUACACCGAACACACCUGCAAAGUUUCGUUCAAAUCUACGAUGGUCAUAUUUUGCGGUCGGCCGGUUUCUCAUGGAAUCCCUCAGUACCAGGAAUAAACCAUGGGAUACUGGCCGACAGUGUUUCAAGCAGAAAUAUAUGCCAUUCUAGAAAGCACUAACAUAUGUCUGAAGAAAAAAUACCGGAAAUUCUGGAGUUGCAGGGAACGAAAAAGCCGAUGAAUUAGCAAGAAGUUAACAUUCUGUGGAGUCUCAUCGAGUGUCCUCAAAAUGGAACUGAAAAAGUGGGAAAUCACAGCUAUAAAGAACAAUUGGAGUACCACACCUGGACUACGACAAUCAAAGAAGUUUAUCUCACCCAACGAGUUGAAAGCCUGGAGUUGCUUAGACUAAACAACAAAGAACUAAGCAUCAUGACAGGACCACUGUCCGAGUAAAUAUCAUCCUAAGAAAUGUGGUAAGCUUUCAAACGAUACAUGCCGCGUCUGCGGAUCUGAAAGUGAAACAUCAGAGCAUUUGCUCUGCGAAUGCAGUGCAUUGAUAAACCCAUCGAUUACCGCAUACAAAUUCAAAUCGCUAUAACUUUCGGUUCCGUCAAUGAAAUAUUUUAAAACUUGCAGGGGAUAUAGUUUAACACUAUAUCUUUCGAAUGCUAUCUACCAAAUAAGUAGACAAAUAUGACUUGUUUAUAAAGAUAAGACAAAACCUGUGGGUGUAUGCUGGUAGCCUUAUGAAACGUGUCAUCAAACUUCAAAUCGCUAUAUCUUUCGAAUCUCUCGAUGGAUCAUUUUGAAAUUCACUGAGAAGAUUCUUCGAUACUGUACCUUUCGA